Molecule: ribosomal RNA, 465 nt
Filed under: Vreelandella stevensii
Lineage: Bacteria; Pseudomonadati; Pseudomonadota; Gammaproteobacteria; Oceanospirillales; Halomonadaceae
Description: partial 16S ribosomal RNA
Rfam family: Bacterial small subunit ribosomal RNA
Source: RNAcentral
CCUACGGGUGGCAGCAGUGGGGAAUAUUGGACAAUGGGCGAAAGCCUGAUCCAGCCAUGCCGCGUGUGUGAAGAAGGCCUUCGGGUUGGAAAGCACUUUCAGUGGGGAAGAAAGCCUUGGGGCUAAUACCCUCGAGGAAGGACAUCACCCACAGAAGAAGCACCGGCUAACUCCGUGCCAGCAGCCGCGGUAAUACGGAGGGUGCGAGCGUUAAUCGGAAUUACUGGGCGUAAAGCGCGCGUAGGCGGUCUGAUAAGCCGGUUGUGAAAGCCCCGGGCUCAACCUGGGAACGGCAUCCGGAACUGUCAGGCUAGAGUGCAGGAGAGGAAGGUAGAAUUCCCGGUGUAGCGGUGAAAUGCGUAGAGAUCGGGAGGAAUACCAGUGGCGAAGGCGGCCUUCUGGACUGACACUGACGCUGAGGUGCGAAAGCGUGGGUAGCAAACAGGAUUAGAUACCCGGGUAAUC